Molecule: ribosomal RNA, 253 nt
Filed under: uncultured bacterium
Lineage: Bacteria
Description: partial 16S ribosomal RNA
Rfam family: Bacterial small subunit ribosomal RNA
Source: RNAcentral
UACGAAGGGGGCUAGCGUUGUUCGGAAUUACUGGGCGUAAAGCGCGCGCAGGCGGUCUUCCAAGUCAGUGGUGAAAGCCCGGAGCUCAACUCCGGAAUUGCCAUUGAAACUGUUAGACUUGAGGACGAGAGAGGUGAGUGGAAUUCCCAGUGUAGAGGUGAAAUUCGUAGAUAUUGGGAAGAACACCGGUGGCGAAGGCGGCUCACUGGCUCGUUUCUGACGCUCAGGCGCGACAGCGUGGGGAUCAAACAGG